RNAcentral lists this long non-coding RNA (752 nucleotides) under Coturnix japonica (Japanese quail). RNAcentral's name for it is "lncRNA (ENSCJPG00005004114.1)". The record is from RNAcentral. Lineage: Eukaryota; Metazoa; Chordata; Aves; Galliformes; Phasianidae.
AAUUUGCAGUGUCUGCUUUGUUUCUCGGUCAAUUCGGGAUAAUCCUGUAAUUGAAGAUUUUAUCUUCUUGUAUUUUCUUUUAGGAUCUCAUUAUCCAGAAAAAUUAGAACAUAUGGCUGCAGGUAGCACCAUUUCUCCUGGUUUGUCUAAAGCAUUUUAUCUGUUGUGGUUUAAUUGCUGAGUAAGAAGUGCAAACCAAGCAGGCUUCAUGACACUGAAAGAGUGAAGUGAAAGGGUGCUCUACAAAAGGUCCUCUACUGAAUCCUUGGUCACAAGCCUUCCUGACAGUGCCCAUAUCAUCAGUGCUGUUGCUGAUGCUCCUGGAUACCUGAAUGUCAGCAUACUGAACUUCACAGUCAAUGACCACCAUUGUGGUGACAAAGAGGUGAUGGGAGUGGCAACAUCUGUAAGGUUGACAUCCUAAGUAAAUGAUAAAGACCACAUGGGAAUCUCUUGUUUACCUACAUGCCACUUGAUUAUUAUAGAGCUACUCUGCAAAGAGUUAGUUACAUGAGAAGAAUGAAGGUGAACUGAGUGAUGGAGAGAUGUAUGAAAGAGAAAGGACUUACGUUAUUGAGAACUUGAAUAUAUAAGUAAUGAGGAUAUAUAUAACUAUUAUGUGUAUGUAUAUAUAAAAAUAUUCAUGUUGCUCAUCCAGAAGGAAUUAAAAAUAGUGUGAAUACAGAUCACAUUCUUUAAAAACGCUGUUAAGAUACGAUCAAAGGAUGGGUCAUUUCCUGAUUUUCCUGUAC